This 2178-nucleotide long non-coding RNA is filed under the name Homo sapiens (human). RNAcentral describes it as "HSALNT0381124". Lineage: Eukaryota; Metazoa; Chordata; Mammalia; Primates; Hominidae. The record is from RNAcentral.
AGUUGGGCUCCCCAAUUAUAGUAGAAAUAAAUGGAGCACAGAAUAGUAGACACAGGUGGUAGCACUUCAGCACAAGUGGUCCCAAUUUCCAUGGCUGAUUAACAGAAUGGAACUUGGAGUGUUUUGACUCCCAGGCUUCUGUGUUGAUAAGGAACCAAAGGUGGGAACACUAGGAAUGAAAUAGAGGGGCAGCCUAGACAUAUAUAAACAAGUACAUUCCAGGUCACAUAGGAAGAAACCUGACUCAUCCAUAGUGGUAAUUCAUAGCUGCUUACUCAGUUUGCAGACCUACAGCUCCUUGUCUGAGGAGGGGGCUAGACUUUUGGCAACAUGGCCACAAUAUAGGAUAUAACUCUUUCUCUGAGUCUUCAAGAUGUGUGGCCAUUUUCCAGGGUGUGUGCAGUGAAAAAGGGGAUUUUUUUUUUUUAGGUUUUCUGUAGGUUAUUAGUGACAUUGAGGAAAAGCUAAUUCUUAACCUCACCACUUCCAUAUCUACCAUGAUGGCCACUGAUCAAAAUGUGGCUUAUAAAUAUUAGAUGAUGGAAAGAGUCUUGACCAGAGUCCAUCUCUGUGUGGGUCCAAUUGGGACCACACACCAGUCCUGGCAUAUAUAGUGAAAACAUCUCUCUCUCUGUCUCCCUCCCUAACUAUCUACCUACCUAGCAGCUGGCAGAAUCUGCACAUUGGUACACUGAUCCAUGAAAUGAGGGUUAUUACAUAGCAAAAGCUAAAUUUACAUUCUUAGUGUCGACCUUUUGCCAUGACAGCAAAAUCAAAAGCAAUAGCACUUCUUGAAGGAAGUACAGAAUUAAUUGCUACUGUCAAAGACUUGAAACUUGCAGAGGUGCUUAUUCCUACUGCACCAUUAUUUAAACUGCCUGUUUGAACAAGCAGAUGUUGAACUUAUCUUGGAGAAUUACUGUGGAUUGUCUUAAACAUAAUGAGAUGAUUUGUUUCAGUUCUUCUAGAAGCUAAUACAAGGAGUUGAAGGCAGGAGUUUGUAGGAGAGGUGAUCUCUGGAAGCACAAUGCAGGAAUGGGGAAGAUAAGUAACUUUACCGUUGUACUGUGCAUUAGUGGAGUGAUUACUACUAUGUGAAACGGGCUCAGUCCUUCUAGGGACCUUUGAGGAACUGUGCAAAUUAUUACUUAGAAUUGUCUAUUGAGAGAUUGGGAAGUUGCAGUAUUUAUCACUGAUUCCUCUCUCAUUAGUAGAGAACUGCCUUUGGUAAUGAUAAGCGUGGCGUUUUGAGGCUGAUCUGUGAAGCUCAGAGGGAUCAAGUAGCUUAACUAAAGUCAAAUAGUUGAAAAGUGGCAGAAUGGAGGCUUGAACCAUGUUUUCUGUCUCCAGAAUGAAUCUUUUUCUUUCCUCAUACUGCUACCCCUGGGCAAAUGCCUAAGAGUCAACAAAAAUGGCUGUUGAUACAUAAAAUUAAGAUACUUCUCACCAGAUGAUGGUAUAGAGGUGGGAAGUUUAGAGGCACACACACACACUUCAGGUGUUCUGAACACAUUAAUUGCCCCAUGUUGUGACCCCUUUCUAUAUUCUCCUUGUUGCAUGUAUAACUAGAGAGGCCUGCGUUAUAUUCACAGGGGCCCCAGGGCCAACUUCUAUCUAUACCUAUAUGAAAUGUAUACAUUUGUCAAGAUUAAAUUGAUGGUGGUUUUCAUAUAAUUGUUGCAUUUUUAGGACAAAGCUAAUGGAAGUGACAAAUUGCUUUUCAAUACAGACCAUUCAUGUUAUAACUAGUAAAAAUUAUCUGUAACAAUAAUAAAAUUGCCCUUGGUAUUUUUAAUAACUAAUACUCUUAGUUUCUAGUUUCUUUUUAUUUUGUAUCUUUCAGGGCCUUCAUAAAUAUUUUAAUGAUAAGUUGAAAGGUUUAUCAAAGAGGGCUACAUUAUAGUACCUUAGUCUAUAAAUACUGGCUGUACCUUUAAACAACAAUAUGUAAUAAUAUUAAUGCAACUUAAAAGGGACAUAUAAUCAACGGAUCAGUAUUAAAAGCAAUAUAGAAGGAAAAACAUGGCUAAUAUGACCAGUGGAGUAAUUGAAUGAAAGCCAGCUACCCCCUUAAACACAUGCAAACACACACACACACACACACACACACACACACACACACACUCCCAAUUCAGGACAAAUACAUGGGUUAAAAUAGUGAGAAAUUGAAAAGUAGUA